This 442-nucleotide ribosomal RNA is filed under the name Actinomyces sp. 12-689. RNAcentral's name for it is "bacterial SSU rRNA". It matches the Rfam family "Bacterial small subunit ribosomal RNA", at positions 29 to 466 of the family's 1533-position model. Lineage: Bacteria; Bacillati; Actinomycetota; Actinomycetes; Actinomycetales; Actinomycetaceae. The record is from RNAcentral.
ACCACAACCGCUGGCGGCGUGCUUAAUACAUGCAAGUCGAACGAUGAUGCUCCAGCUUUGUUGGGGUGGAUUAGUGGCGAACGGGUGAGUAACACGUGAGUAACCUGCCCUYUUCUUUGGGAUAACGGUCGGAAACGGCUGCUAAUACUGGAUAUUCACUCAUUGGCGCAUGUUGGUGGGUGGAAAGGUUUUUCUGGUGGGGGAUGGGCUCGCGGCCUAUCAGCUUGUUGGUGGGGUGAUGGCCUACCAAGGCUUUGACGGGUAACCGGCCUGAGAGGGUGACCGGUCACAUUGGGACUGAGAUACGGCCCAGACUCCUACGGGAGGCAGCAGUGGGGAAUUUUGCACAAUGGGCGCAAGCCUGAUGCAGCGACGCCGCGUGAGGGAUGAAGGCCUUCGGGUUGUAAACCUUUUUCGCUCAUGGUCAAGCCGCAGCUUUGGG